Long non-coding RNA from Esox lucius (northern pike), 1268 nucleotides. NCBI's taxonomy places the organism in Eukaryota, Metazoa, Chordata, Actinopteri, Esociformes, Esocidae. The record is from Ensembl.
CUGUACUGUAUGUAAAUCUGUUUAUUGCAAGAAGACCCCUGGGAGCAAAAUAUGACCAAAUCCCUCUAAAAAGACAGAGUACUGAGAGACCACUAUACCCAAAGGCCCUCACGAAAGAAAAUGAGGAUUUACAAACAAUUUCAAAGACAUGACGGUAAAAUUACAUUGGUUCUUGUUGAAAACUAUUAGCGAAGUAGGCCUAUAUUCUAAAUACUGUAUUUUUGCAAUAAAUCUGCUCACCAUCAGUUAUAAUUUAAACAUUAUAGUUUACAAUAGCCUAUAUUCCCUUCUGAUAUGUACAGUAUAACAACAUAAUCAAAACAGUGCCUUAUGAUCAAGAGAUACAUUAAUUAAAAUGCACACACACAAAAAGAACUUCACUUACUAUAGAGACAUGCAGACUAACAGAAAUGUUCUAUCCCUUUUAAAAGUAUGCAAAUGGUCUUCUAUGUGCCAAAAUCCAUACUCUUAUUGUCUUCCUACCCCCACUGAAAAUGUACAAAUACUUAUACAACCCACUUGGUGUUUUAGGGCCAUUCAUGUGGCGACAAAGCAUCAGUCAGAUAGUGGAUGGGCCCUUUAAGCUGGUGAAAAGUAAGCCAUAGAAAUUCUGUAUGAUUCUCUUCAGAAUCUGUAUCUCUAUCUUCACUUUGGGUUUAAACACACGCUGUGGAUAAAAAGCAUGAAUACAAAGUGGCAAUAGUUUUGCUGGCAAAAUGUGUUACUGUUUUGGCUCAAACACAAGCAGGAUAGCAUGUUCCCUAAUGUCGUUGAGUUGAGGCCUUAACUAAACACAUAAACCUGCAUUCCCAAGACGUGUAAGAGUAGGAUUACUGGUCCAGAAUCAGCAGUCCAGUCUUAGAUCAUAACGUGAAUUCAAUUAUACUGAUAGCUGUGACCUGAUCCUAAAUCAUUACUCUUACCUGGUAUUUGACAAGUUAAACAAGCACUGUGUUAGGAAUAGAGACUGCAUGUUGUGUGAGUGUAAAAGGUUCGCCGUAUAAUAACUGCCACCAUAAUUACUAAGAAAUAUCAAAUCUAGCUAAAUGGCUUUGAAAUUAAACUUAUUUUAAUGCCCUCUGGUGGCAAAACCAGGCUAGUUAGUGUUCUGAUUACUGCACCUGUAAAACUGCUCAUUUUUACAAUAUACAAAUGCUGCAAUAUAUACUAUAUUUGUUAUCAGAGCUAUAGAAAACAUAUACAUUAUAAAGUUAUAUAUUCUUAAAUAUAAACAACAUUAAGUCAGUUUUCCAGUAGUUUGAUUAUAU